UUCAAUUGUGUGAUGUUAUUAUGCUUUUGUAUCAGGCAAAUACAAUUAAAUCUAUGACUAUCAAUAACAGGAUUGUGAUUGUUAGGGUUUUCACACAAUUGGGUUUAUAAUUGCAUCACCUAGGACUAGAAACUUUUGUAAAUCAUCAUAAACCUUGAUAUUGAGUAAGAAUUGGUAGUUUAAUAGUUUCUUCAUUAAGGACUUAAGGAAGAACAUUCUGAGGUUAGGUAAUUGAAUGUUUAUUGUGUAUUGAGAAAAUCUUGACUUGAAUUCAUAAC
RNAcentral lists this long non-coding RNA (278 nucleotides) under Lathyrus oleraceus (garden pea). Its description in RNAcentral is "Pisum sativum (pea) long non-coding RNA (PSAT_LNC033887)". The record is from RNAcentral. Lineage: Eukaryota; Viridiplantae; Streptophyta; Magnoliopsida; Fabales; Fabaceae.